Molecule: ribosomal RNA, 467 nt
Filed under: uncultured bacterium
Lineage: Bacteria
Description: partial 16S ribosomal RNA
Rfam family: Bacterial small subunit ribosomal RNA
Source: RNAcentral
GACGAACGCUGGCGGCGUGCUUAACACAUGCAAGUCGAACGGAAAGGCCCUGCUUUUGUGGGGUGCUCGAGUGGCGAACGGGUGAGUAACACGUGAGUAACCUGCCCUUGACUUUGGGAUAACUUCAGGAAACUGGGGCUAAUACUGGAUAGGAGCUCCUGCUGCAUGGUGGGGGUUGGAAAGUUUCGGCGGUUGGGGAUGGACUCGCGGCUUAUCAGCUUGUUGGUGGGGUAGUGGCUUACCAAGGCUUUGACGGGUAGCCGGCCUGAGAGGGUGACCGGCCACAUUGGCACUGAGAUACGGCCCAGACUCCUACGGGAGGCAGCAGUGGGGAAUAUUGCACAAUGGGCGGAAGCCUGAUGCAGCAACGCCGCGUGCGGGAUGACGGCCUUCGGGUUGUAAACCGCUUUCGCCUGUGACGAAGCGUGAGUGACGGUAAUGGGUAAAGAAGCACCGGCUAACUACGU